AGGUGGGAGGCUUUGAAACCAGGACGCCAGUUUUGGCGGAGCCAUCCUUGGGAUACCACCCUUGUAGUACUGGGACUCUAACCAUAGGCCAUGAAUCUGGUCUUGGGACACUGUCAGGUGGGCAGUUUGACUGGGGCGGUCGCCUCCCAAAAGGUAACGGAGGCGCUCAAAGGUUCUCUCAGUACGGUCGGAAAUCGUACGUAGAGUGUAAAGGCAAAAGAGAGCUUGAUUGCAAGACAUACAGGUCGAGCAAGGAUGAAAAUCGGACUUAGUGAUCCGGUGGUUCUGCGUGGAAGGGCCAUCGCUCAACGGAUAAAAGCUACCCUGGGGAUAACAGGCUUAUCUCCCCCAAGAGUCCACAUCGACGGGGAGGUUUGGCACCUCGAUGUCGGCUCAUCACAUCCUGGGGCUGUAGUAGGUCCCAAGGGUUGGGCUGUUCGCCCAUUAAAGUGGUACGCGAGCUGGGUUCAGAACGUCGUGAGACAGUUCGGUCCCUAUCCGUCGCAGGCGUAGGAAAUUUGAGAAGACCUGUCCUUAGUACGAGAGGACCGGGAUGGACGUACCUCUGGUGUACCAGUUGUUCUGCCAAGGGCAUGGCUGGGUAGCUAUGU
This 611-nucleotide ribosomal RNA is filed under the name Clostridioides difficile. Its description in RNAcentral is "partial 23S ribosomal RNA". It matches the Rfam family "Bacterial large subunit ribosomal RNA", at positions 2145 to 2754 of the family's 2925-position model. The record is from RNAcentral. Lineage: Bacteria; Bacillati; Bacillota; Clostridia; Peptostreptococcales; Peptostreptococcaceae.